CUCAGUGUGGUUUGCUUGGUUUCGUCGUCUCAAUACAAUAUUGUUUGAUUUUUUGUCUUCGUUUAGUGUUUGUUUGGUUUGGAUUGACAUAUCAACUUCAAUCAAUCAAACAUUAAAUCAAAUGACAAGAUAUUCAACGUUGCAAAUCCAUUAGCAUAAAUAUUCCAAUGAAUUUGGUUUUGUCACAUUAUUUAUAGACAUUUU
This 204-nucleotide long non-coding RNA is filed under the name Medicago truncatula (barrel medic). RNAcentral describes it as "lncRNA gene24970". Lineage: Eukaryota; Viridiplantae; Streptophyta; Magnoliopsida; Fabales; Fabaceae. The record is from RNAcentral.